CUGGAGCCCUGGUUGAGAGGACAUAGUCAGGCUUAGAAGCUCCCAGUCACCGGACGUGUAGAGGAGCCUUUCUGUGGACCAAGGGGACUUCAGUAAAACAAGGACAACAAUGCCCAUGCCUCAUGUGAUCAUGAUGAUGAAACAGAGGAUCAGAGAGGUGAUGCGACUUGCCCAAGUGAUAACAGAACAGAUUCACAGGCUGCCUCCUCGGCUCCCAUCAAUUUUUCCCUUCAAGUUGCUCUCACGUCCAGAUUUCAGAAAUAGUCUAUGAAUGGAGAGAUACAGCACAGCCUGUGAAAAGAAAGACUGGACCCAGAAGAUUUAAAUUUAAUUGAACUUAAUUAAAUUUAGAGUUUUGAAAAGAAAUAAGAAAAAUGACUUCUAGAAGAAUAGAAGCCUUUCAGAAAACAGGGGUUGAGCCAA
Molecule: long non-coding RNA, 423 nt
Filed under: Equus caballus (horse)
Lineage: Eukaryota; Metazoa; Chordata; Mammalia; Perissodactyla; Equidae
Description: lncRNA (ENSECAG00000050615.1)
Source: RNAcentral